RNAcentral lists this unclassified non-coding RNA (373 nucleotides) under uncultured bacterium. RNAcentral describes it as "contains 16S-23S intergenic spacer region". The record is from RNAcentral.
UCCGGUUUGGCACCGGCAGUCUCCCCAGAGUUCCCGGCUUUACCCGCUGGCAACUGAGGACAGGGGUUGCGCUCGUUGCGCCACUUAAGGCAACACCUCACGGCACGAGCUGACGACAGCCAUGCAGCACCUGUGCGGGCUCCCGAAGGAGGACCGGCUUUCACCGGCUUCACCCCGCAUGUCAAGCCCUGGUAAGGUUCUUCGCGUCGCGUCGAAUUGAGCCACAUGCUCCGCCGCUUGUGCGGGUCCCCGUCAAUUCCUUUGAGUUUUAACCUUGCGGCCGUACUCCCCAGGCGGGGAACUUACUCCGUUAGGUGCGGCACCGGCGGUAACCCGCCGACACUUAGUUCCCAUCGUUUAGGGCGUGGACUAC